This 253-nucleotide ribosomal RNA is filed under the name uncultured bacterium. RNAcentral's name for it is "partial 16S ribosomal RNA". It matches the Rfam family "Bacterial small subunit ribosomal RNA", at positions 524 to 776 of the family's 1533-position model. The record is from RNAcentral.
UACGUAGGGCGCAAGCGUUAUCCGGAAUUAUUGGGCGUAAAGAGCUCGUAGGCGGUCUGUUACGUCCGCUGUGAAAACCCAGGGCUUAACCCUGGGCUUGCAGUGGAUACGGGCAGACUAGAGGCAGGUAGGGGAGAAUGGAAUUCCCGGUGUAGCGGUGAAAUGCGCAGAUAUCGGGAGGAACACCGGUGGCGAAGGCGGUUCUCUGGGCCUGACCUGACGCUGAGGAGCGAAAGCGUGGGGAGCGAACAGG